CGCGGCGAAGCCGUGUCCGGUAAGGAACCGGUUGGCGCCAGGCCGGCUCCCCCUCCUCCACCGCCUCUGCGCCGGCUACAAAAGGCGCCCCAGGUGCGCCCUCUGCACCCCGCGCUGUGGCCUCCUCCCUCUCUUCCUUUCGGAGCUUUCUCCUUCGGGCCGUGCCUCCGCCUGAGUCGCCUCCUCGCGUCUCCGCCACCCUCUCCUCCCCCUUGUCCAUCAAUUCUCGAUUCGUUUCGAAUCAAUCGCGUUUGAUUUCGCUCCUCGUCGCCUCUGCUCCCUGUGCUCGCAGGGGAUUCGGCCCGUCUCGUCCGCCUCCGGGGAGCGAUCGAUCGAUCGACCGGGGAAUCCCUCGAGCCGUUCGGUUUUGCCUCUGCGUCUGAUUUGAUUUCGGGUGACCGGAGGGCCGAAGCAAGGUCAGUUUCUCGCGCUCGAUCGGUCGGAUCGCUUCCUUGGUUCCGUCACCUGCCCGCGUUCGUCUCGUCGGUGGUUUCAGAUUUGAAAUUGAAUUGAACGCCGUCGACCGUGCGGCCUUCCGGCUCUAUUGUUCCCCGAUCGACCGCUCUCGUCCCGAGUUCCGUCGUCAUCAGUUAGUUAAUAAUACGAGGUGGAUUCGAGGCCCUCGUGGAUUCUUACUUUACCGGCUGAUCUGCUUUUGGUGUAUGUGCUCUCAUCCUAGAUGCAGAACCAAGAGGGCCAGCGCUUAGUUCUGGAGAGAUGAUACAGAUGAAGGGGUGGCGGAGGUUUGAUUUCUGUUCAUGGUUAUUCUGAUUGAUUGAUUACAGUCCAACGGUUAGUUUGAUUGAUUGAUUACAGUCCAACGGUUAUUCUGAUAUGAUCAAAUCUUCUGGGAUGAUCAAGCUUUCGACCUCUUACCAACCCAGGCUGGAAUACACGAUCUGCGUUUGGAUAAUAUACAUCAAUCCCUCCUAAUUUAGUUUCUGGUUCAAUUUAGCCUACUACAGUACAAUUCUGAUUUGGAUAUUUUGCUGGUUAUCCUGAAACUGGGAUUACAGAGGGCCACUUCGAGCCACCCGCCUUCUUGCUGACCUGCGUUUGCAUGAUCACUCUCUGUUUAAUUUGUUCUUCUCCACAAUUCAAUUAGUCCCCCAACAACUCUGAUUUUGAUAUGCUGCUGGCUCUCCAGAAACUGAAUGACAUAGCCUAGCGGCGGGUGGUCCUAAUUUGGCUCGGCAUGGCGUUUCUUCUUAUGGGGAUAAACUUUCUGGACCUUUCUUAUUGAAAUAAUUAUAUCUCAGCAAACAUUAGUUUCCCUGCCUUAGUCAUUCUCAGCUCUUGCAGAUGGUGCCUUGCAAGGGAUAUAAUUGGAGCUUGUCUACCUGACCUUCCCAGUCGAUACAGGCUUACUUUAUUUUAUCUUAACUCGUCAUCAUUUAAUCUAGUUCUCUUCCUAACUGAAACAUUUAUAGAAAGGUAUCUUGCUCGAUGCAGGUCCUAGUUCACGAACUCAAGGCCACCAACUUGAUGUGAGCAUGCGGUUCUUCUAAAUCUAUCUUCUCAAUUUCUUAACUUAGAUAAUAGUACUAAGAUUUCUUACUAGGCAAUAUUUCAAAUUCAGAUUAGUUGCAAAGGUGCAAGAAUGAAGCUUCAAAUUAGUGGCAUAUCCUAGAACCAGAAAAAACUUAAAUCUCUUAUUAUCCUCUUAUUUUUAUUUAAUUCAGCUAUAUGUUCAUGUCUUUGAUUUAGGUUUUUUCUUCUGCCCUCCAUGUCGUUGCAGAUUUAUUUUGGCCUAAGACAAUACUGGCAGUGAGCCUGAAUCUGUUAAAAUCGUCUGGUUUGCAAUCUAUCUCCUUGUGGUUUGAUUGGUUAUCUGUACUCUUGAUCCCUGCGUUAGUAUUCCUGCCCAUUGCUAUCUGAUAUAUUUAUAGGAAAUCUGGUCCUACAUGCAAACCUGUUGUUUGUACGUGUCACGGGGUCAGGUCAGUGUCUUGACGGUUGGUUCAUUUUUGUUGGCUUCCAUGGGUUGGUUGCAGGACUGGAUCUUGUAUGUGGAGAUCCCUGGGAUGUUGUAUGUCAAAGGGGAUUUGAGGCAGGUCAGAUGUGAAUGGCUAUCACUCGUGUGGUUUUCUCGUUCUCAUCAGGAGUUCCAUAAUCAUCAGCUAAUAUGAGGUGGAUUCGAGGUCCUAGUGGAUUCCUAUUGUAGCAGCUGAUUUCGCUUUUGGUGUGUGUUUGUGCUCCUUUAGAUGCAGCAGAAGCAAGAGGGUAGUGGCUCUGCAGAGAUGAGUCGAAGAGUUGAGGUUUGGUUUCUUAUACAAAUGGAUAGAUCUUUCCGGAGGACGGUGUUUUGGUGUUCAACUCCAACUUGUGAUCCGUGUUUGGAUGAUCUCAAAUUCUCGAUCACUCUGACUUUUAACUUACUCGUAUUUAUUUGCGAAGUACAAUAAUUUACUCCAAGAGAUUCUGAUUUGGAUUGGAUCUACAGAAAUUUAGAUUUGGCUUAGCGACAGGGGUGAUUUGUCUUCUUGCUGAUUGCUUUGGAUGAAUCAUUACUUCCUCCAUUUCAUUUAUUUCUCUCCAUAGCUCACCUUGAGUCUACGAUAAUCCUGCUUUGCAUUUGUUGGUGGUUCUUCAGAAAUUGAGGUUAUACGGCUUAGCGGGAGCACCUAUCGUCUUGGUGAUCUGCAGUGGAUGAUCAUUACCUACUCAGUUUAAUUUCUUCUUCUCCAGAGUUCAAUUAGUCACCCAACAAUUCUGUUUGUGAUCUGUUGAUGGUUGUACAGAAAUUGGAAUUACACGGCCUAGCGGGCGGUCCUAAUUUGCCUCAGCAUGGCGGUUCCUUCUGUGGCUCAAACUUUUUCAACCUUUCUUAUUGUCAUGACAUUAGGUUUUCUCUGCCUUGGUCGGUAAUUCUCAGCUCUUGCAGAUACUGACAUAGAAAGGCUAUAACUGCACUUUGGAACUGGUGGUGUUGUCGUCCGUCAACCAUAGCUGAACUUCCUAUCCGAGACAGGCUUACUUGUUCCCGCCCCAUCGUUUGAUCCAUGCUUUGGCUAUUUAUAAGUAACAUUUUUCCCUAAUUGAAAAUUUAUAGUAAGGUCUCUUGCUCGUUGCAGGUUGUAGUUGACGAAACUCGAGCCCAACCUGAUGAUGAAUCUGUUUGCAGAUCUUCUAAAUCUACUAGUAUACCUUCAAUUCAUUGCAACUUACAUAACCAACAAAUUAUCUUACUAGGCAAUAUUUUAUAAUACAGAUACAUAUGCAAAGGUGCACGAAUCUAAGGAUAAUCCGAAGCUUUUGACUAGUGGCACAUCCUACAACCGAAAAAACUCUUGCCAUCCUUCUUUUAAUUUCAUUUAGCUACUUGGCCAUAUCUUUGAUAUAGGUUUUUGCUCCUGCCUUUACUGUGGUUGCAGAUUUUUUUUAGCCCAGACCAUGUGGGUAAUGACUCGGAAUCUGUUCUAAUAUUUUGGUUUGCGAUCUAGCUCUCCAUUGUUUGAUUUGUUACCUUUAACUCUUGAUCCCUGUGUUCUAUUGGUCUUCUGCAAGUGUUGCAGGAUAUAAUAGUUAGGAGUUUGUGCCCAAACCUUUGCUCUGUACAUGGAGUCAGGUCAGUGUCUUGUAGAUGGUCUGUUUGUUUCAUUUGUUAGCGCCACCUCCAUGAGUUGGCUUGCAGGACUGGAUCUGGAUCUGGCCUGGACAUGAAGCUCCCUAUGGUGUAUAACAGUAUGGUGAAGGGGACUUUUGAGGCAGGUCAGUUUCCCAUGUUUGGUCACACUGGUUUACUGUAUCCCUCAUCUGUGCUCGGUGACAAAAGAUUUAAGUGGCUAUACCUUGAGUUCUUCAAUUUAUCUUUGUCUGUGGCUCAUCAGUAUGGCUGUGCCUCAAUAUGAGGUGAAUUGGUUCUCGUUGUAACAGCUGAUCUCGCUUGUGGUAUGUGUUUGUGCUCCUUGAGAUGCAGGAUGUUGUGGAGUGAUGAAUCAAAGGAUUAAGGUUUGCUUUACUGUUCAUGGUUACUUUGAUUGGUUAUGGCUCAAUGGCUGAUUAUAAGCUAGGAUCUUGUGUGCUGUCAAAUUUAGCUUACAACAUCUCUGAUAUGGAUUGUUGGUUCUCCAGCUAGUGGACUUAUGGGGACUUUCCGGAAGGUGCUCUGUUUUGUUUCACCAUGUUACAGGCGUUUUCUUCUGUUGACUUCAAUCUUUCCUGAUUUGCUUUGAACAUUGUACUUCCUAUGGUUUUCUCUGCCCUUGGUAACUACGUGUCCUUGCAGAUAUUGACAUGGAUGAGAGAUAAUAUAGUUCGCUAUCUGGAACUGGUGUUGUUGCCUAACUGAUCUCUCCCAGCCAAGCAGGCUUAUCCUAUCCCCUCACUGUUUUGAUGCAUCAUUUAGCUGUUUAUAAGUAGCUUCGUCUCCCCAAAGCAAAUAUUCAUGGGAAGAGGUCUGUUGGUCGUUGCAGGUCCUAAUUGACUAUUUAGGUCCAACCUGAUCCGGAGUUAUCUGUUUGAAGAUCUUCUAAACCCUUUCCAAUUCAUUGCAAUUUGUUCAACAUAUAUAAAUUAUCUUAUGGAGACAAUUUGAACAUUCAUAUUGAUUUGGUGGAUGUAUAAGAUUCGGAGGUUGCUCUGGGACAUCCUACAACCGAAAAAAUUCGGUGCUCUCUACAACCGAAAAACUAUCUUAUGCCGAGUUCCUGAAGAAACUUCUGCUAUCUUGGUUGCCUUUUGCUUGAUCAAGUCAUGCUGGUAGCCAUUCAAAAUAUGUUGCCUUUUUGGUUUCUCACUUUGUUAUCUGUACUCCCAAUCCAUGUGUUUCUGUUGGUCUGUUGGCCUGCUGGGCUUGUUCUUUGCAGUAUAUGUUGGAAUUGGUGGGUGUGCCCUGUGGAGUCAGGUCAGUGUUUGGUCUGCUCUCAAUGCAAAAAUUAGCUUUGUUCCUCUUCUUCAAUCUCCAAUGGCUAAUCAACGAUUCUGUCUGUCACGUAAUACAAGGUGAAUUUCAUCUCGUUUAUGAUAUGCGCAUUUGUUCCUUCAGAUACGAGACAGUGGAGAUCGUAUUGUAGGGUAGAGGUUUGGGUGAUUCAUGGCUUAGCUGUUCGGAUGAUAUCUUACAAGUUUGGGAUUGGAAUUGUUGGUCAUGCCCGCAUAGUUGAGGAUUCAUAAGUGUCUUGAGGCGUGACUGGACUGUUUGGUUUCUGUUCUGAGUAUUAUUUGGAUUUUUGGUUGUUCUCCAGCAUUUGAGCGUAGGCUUGCCCGGACUACUUUUUGGCUCAAUAAUUGGAAUGGUGCAGAGCUCUAGGAGAUUCUUCGUGAUUCAUUUCUCUGUUAACUUUUAACAUUCCAAACAUUGUUCUUUCUUGUCAGUAACUCCUAGUUCUAUGCAGAUGUGGCAUACAAUGAGGAUAAUUCAAACCAAUGUGCAUAACUUCACUAAACCAGGCUUCCCUAUCUCCCUUGCUAUAUUUGUUCACAUUCUUAGCUUUCUCAAAAAUGGUUAGGCAUCAUGGUCUUUUGUUCAUUGCAGGUGUACUUGACAAUUUUACAACAGAAAUCUGAUGUCAUGCUGCGUGAAAUUUAUUUUUGGAGACCUUCUGAUUUCACAUUUUUCUAUCGAUAAGCUAGAAAACCAGUUAGCUGUUAAGUCUGAGUAUUCAAACUGAUCCGCAGAGGUGAAGAAUUCUAAAAGCUUGUUUGGGAGCUUCGUUCUGGAGGGAGUACCUAUGCUCAAUGCUUUUUUCAACUCAUUGUCCAGUUCUAAUUAUGUUCUGACUUUCCUUCAAGAAACUUCAAGUAUUCUGAUUAUAUUUGGGCUGUUCAUUGAUCAUUCCUGUUGGAAAAUUGUAGAGUUGGAAAGUCUAGCAACACGUCAGUUGGUGGGGGGAUUUGGUGAAGCAAAUGGAUCAUCUGCUUCCCGGAUGUUUUUGACCUCUGAUUAACCCUGAUCCUGAAGCAUAUUAUACUUGAUUUGGUCUUUGUGGCAGCUUUCAGUUUGAACUUGCAUUCAGUGGUAGUUUGGAGUUAGUAGUGUGCACAUCUGAUUCUUCCAACCGUCCUGAAGCAUCUUACUUGGUUUCUGUUGUGUGCCAUCGGCUUCAACUUGCAUGUGGUUUGGAUGUCUCAUCUUUUGCUCCAAAUCAACAAAAUGCUACAAGUAUUGAUGUCUUAACUGGAAGUUCCUUUAGUCUCAAGGGCCCAACAAUGGAAAUACCAGUCCGUACUCAAAGUUUGUAUAGGAGAUUAUCAACUUUUGAUUUGGCUAUUAAUCACUAGAUGGUUGCCAUACUGUUUCCGGAAGUUAGUUUAAUAUUAGGCUGCUUGUAUCUAUAAAUUUAUCUCUAGCAGCAAUAUCUUCAGCUGCAAAUUUAUCACCUAUGUACAUGAGCUCUGUAUGCAGUAAAAGAUCUCCAUAUACACUUGGAUUUGUCGGUCUACUAUACCACAUAUAUUUGUCCACACUUGGUUUGUUUAUUUAACUAUUUUCCUGAAAGAGGCUAGGAGUUAUUGCCGUAUACUAAAA
Molecule: non-coding RNA, 6469 nt
Organism: Aegilops tauschii subsp. strangulata
Lineage: Eukaryota; Viridiplantae; Streptophyta; Magnoliopsida; Poales; Poaceae
Source: RefSeq, a predicted model, not a curated record